GACGAACGCUGGCGGCGUGCUUAACACAUGCAAGUCGAACGGAAAGGCCCUGCUUUUGUGGGGUGCUCGAGUGGCGAACGGGUGUGUAACACGUGAGUAACCUGCCCUUGACUUUGGGAUAACUUCAGGAAACUGGGGCUAAUACCGGAUAGGAGCUCCUGCUGCAUGGUGGGGGUUGGAAAGUUUCGGCGGUUGGGGCUGGACUCGCGGCUUAUCAGCUUGUUGGUGGGGUAGUGGCUUACCAAGGCUUUGACGGGUAGCCGGCCUGAGAGGGGGACCGGCCACAUUGGGACUGAGAUACGCCCCAGACGGCUACGGGAGGCAGCAGUGGGGAAUAUUGCACAAUGGGCGGAAGCCUGAUGCAGCAACGCCGCGUGCGGGAUGACGGCCUUCGGGUUGUAAACCGCUUUCGCCUGUGACGAAGCGUGAGUGACGGUAAUUGGUAAAGAAGCACCGGCUAACUACGUG
Molecule: ribosomal RNA, 468 nt
Filed under: uncultured bacterium
Lineage: Bacteria
Description: partial 16S ribosomal RNA
Rfam family: Bacterial small subunit ribosomal RNA
Source: RNAcentral